AGCAACUCUUCCUUUUGCCAGCAGAAGGCGAUGGAGACCAGCCUUGGCUGGACCACUUCCACCCCAGAGGCUCUUCACCGCCUCCCCAUCCAGACCCAAGGUUCCCUAGUGGUCCAGACGGUUUCCUUGGCAGCGCUGGCACCAGGCCCACCACAGCUGCCAAACAUGAGGUGAUGGGACAGCCCUCGUGGCCUCCACCCACCGCCCUGGUGGAGAAGUGAAACAUGAACCCACCAGUGCAAGACAGAGGAAGAGGCACCAGCGAAGUCACACUAGGGAGAAUCCACAUCAGCCUGGCCAUGCAGGGGAGGCCUCACGAAGCCCUGGGAAGCCAGAGCAAUAAAACUCUUGUUCAAACAAACGAUUACAGUGGUAAGACACGAAAAGGAAGCUGUUCCUGCUGAUGAAGGGUGAGAAACCUGGAGCCUUCCCUCCCUCCACGCCACGUGGCAGACACCUCAGGGAAUGCUGGGUCUCAGGAGAACAUGCCGAUCCCGUUAACACACAGUCUUCAUAUGAAACCAUGUGGGAACUCAACACAUGCUGUCUCCUCUCUAACCUGAGAUCCUGGCCCUGUUCCACAAAGCGAGGCAGCCUCUUAUAUACCCCUCACAAACCAAGUACUGGGGUGGUGGCCAAAGGGGAGAGACAGGCUAGGGUGUGGGUGGGCCGAAGAAAUCUGAGAGGGACAGGAGCUGCGGUGGCCUGGUCUCUGAGCCUGCAGAGGCUCCCUUCCAGAGAGAGAGCUUGGAACUCAGUCUCUGCCUCCCUCCUUCUCUCCCUCCCUCCAGCAGAACUGCCCUGCCCCAGGGGGUUCAUACCUCGCUAGUCCCCUAGGCCUACACCUUUCCUAAUCUUAGGAGAGACAUAAGAAAA
Molecule: long non-coding RNA, 876 nt
Filed under: Homo sapiens (human)
Lineage: Eukaryota; Metazoa; Chordata; Mammalia; Primates; Hominidae
Description: HSALNT0310076
Source: RNAcentral